CCGGAAAUUCGCGUUUUUACAAUUCUCCGGGCGAUUCCAAUUCACGCCACGGUUUGAGAACCACCGAGAAAGCGUAUGGGAGACGCGCCUACCAGUUGGAGCUAAGAAAACACUCUUCCAUUUUCAAAAAGAGUCACGUAAACACAAGGCCGCCAAUAAUAACGAUUACGAUUAUUCCGAGCCAUACAAACAAGCUGUAUUCUUCACCUGCCGGAUUGCAGAGAGAAGGGGUAUUAUGUGAGUUUUCAAGAUUAGCUGUCCUCAGUGGAGGGACACUUUCAUGCCUGGGGACGAGAGGACUGCAUGAGGUUUCUGAAGGCACUUGAGAGGUGCAGAGUCAGAGUUUGGCUUUGACGGCGUGAACCAGAAGGACCGACCCUCUCUGGGCCUCGUGAGGAGCCUGAUGGAAGGUGGGUUUCAGACGCUGUGGGCAGUGAUGGCUGAGGGUCUGGGUGUAAGCUUGGGGCUCUUCCGGAGUUGGGGGUGAGGACAGACCGUCCGGGCCGUGUCCCUCUCCCGGGCACCGCCGGCCAUCGGUCCACUGGCUCAGCCCGGGGGGCCGCUCCCGCUGCGGGGCCCGGCUCGACGCUUUGGAAGAAAGUCCCGUGGACCUGAGCCCAGGUGCAAGGAAUGCUGGGCCGCGGCCUUCAUUCUCCGUGGAACCUAGAACUCGAGGGUUUGG
This 682-nucleotide long non-coding RNA is filed under the name Felis catus (domestic cat). RNAcentral's name for it is "lncRNA (ENSFCAG00000049441.1)". Lineage: Eukaryota; Metazoa; Chordata; Mammalia; Carnivora; Felidae. The record is from RNAcentral.